Molecule: unclassified non-coding RNA, 149 nt
Organism: Papio anubis (olive baboon)
Lineage: Eukaryota; Metazoa; Chordata; Mammalia; Primates; Cercopithecidae
Rfam family: Metazoan signal recognition particle RNA
About the family: The signal recognition particle (SRP) is a universally conserved ribonucleoprotein. It is involved in the co-translational targeting of proteins to membranes.
Source: Ensembl
GCCAGGUGUGGUGGUGUGCACCUGUAAUCCCAGCUACUCGGGAGGCUGAGGCAGGAGAAUCACUUGAACCCAGGAUGUGGAGGUUGCAGUGGGCCAAGAUCGAGACACUGCCCCUCCAGCCUGGGUGACAGAGCAAGACUCUGUCUCAA